This 358-nucleotide unclassified non-coding RNA is filed under the name Hevea brasiliensis (rubber tree). The record is from RNAcentral. Lineage: Eukaryota; Viridiplantae; Streptophyta; Magnoliopsida; Malpighiales; Euphorbiaceae.
CCAAGGUUACAACCCAUUGAAAGAUAAAAAAGCUAAAAGAUUCAUUUUGAUUGCCACAAGCAGCACUGGUGCGGCUCUUUCUUCUCUUUUUCUUUAUUACUUUUCGCUUUAAUUGUCCAAUUUCGACUAUUUUUUAAUGGAAGGAAAGAGGAGAAUUUGGAUAAAUUGAUUGUACAGGACACUGGAACAAAAGGGAAAGGGUUAUGCUCUUUUCCUCCUCUUUUUUGGGCUUUGAAUUGUAACUGUGGGGGUGGUUAUUGAGAAUAAAAUUCUCUCUAACUUUUUCCCUGUGUGUAACCUUAUAUAUUGAAUUUUCUGCAACUGGAACGCACAGGGAAAAAGUUAGAGAGAAUUUUAU